RNAcentral lists this small RNA (537 nucleotides) under Triatoma infestans. Its description in RNAcentral is "putative mitochondrial 16s rRNA". Lineage: Eukaryota; Metazoa; Arthropoda; Insecta; Hemiptera; Reduviidae. The record is from RNAcentral.
AAAAGGACAUGUUUUUGUUAAACAGGCGGGCAUUGAACUUGCCGAGUUCCUAUGACUUAAUUAACUAAGAUACUAAUUCAAUCAUUAUUACAAUAAAUCACAAAUUAAAUCAAUCAUUCAAGUAAACAAAUAAAGCCAAAUAAAUAAAUCAUAAAAGAAAAUAAUCUAUAACGAAAUAACUGAUGGCUGAUUUCAAGCCUACAAAAUUCCCAACAAAAUUAUAAACUUAAAUUGAGUCCUAAAAAUGAAGUACCAAUGGAAUUCAAUAAACAAUCAUUACUUCAAAUACCUAAAAAUCCGAUUUGGUUCAAUAUUACACCAAUUUGAAUUUUUUGUUUAUACUAGAGAGAAAGGACAACUAGUUCGGUGUGAUUUUCUAAUUUCAGUUCAGGAAAAUUUCCACAGAACUUUAUUUGUCUACUCGUAGUACAGUUAUUACCUCACUCAUAAUUUUAAGGAUUGAAUUCGUAUAUUGCCAAUGAAAGUGAUUUUGUGAAAAUGAAGCAGUUUGUUGCUUCGUUAAGGCAAUGCUCUGAC